GCUCAGGAUGAACGCUGGCGGCGUGCCUAAUACAUGCAAGUCGAACGAAUCUCUUUUAGAGAUGAGUGGCGAACGGGUGAGUAAUACAUAGGUAACCUGCCCCUGUGCGGGGGAUAACAGGAGGAAACUCCUGCUAAUACCGCAUAGCCAUGAGCACCGCAUGGAGCUCAUGCCAAAUAUCCUUUAUGGGAUAGCGCAGGGAUGGACCUAUGGCGCAUUAGCUGGUUGGCGGGGCAACGGCCCACCAAGGCAACGAUGCGUAGCCGGCCUGAGAGGGCGGACGGCCACAUUGGGACUGAGACACGGCCCAGACUCCUACGGGAGGCAGCAGUAGGGAAUUUUCGGCAAUGGGGGAAACCCUUGAACGAGCAACGCCGCGUGAGCGAAGAAAGGCCUUCGGUUCGUAAAGCUCUGUUGUAAAGGAAGAACGGCGCAUACAGGAAAUGGUAUGCGAGUGACGGUACUUUACCAGAAAGCCACGGCUAACUACGUGCCAGCAGCCGCGGUAAUACGUAGGUGGCGAGCGUUAUCCGGAAUCAUUGGGCGUAAAGAGGGAGCAGGCGGCCGCAAGGGUCUGUGGUGAAAGACCGAAGCUAAACUUCGGUAAGCCAUGGAAACCGGGCGGCUAGAGUGCGGAAGAGGAUCGUGGAAUUCCAUGUGUAGCGGUGAAAUGCGUAGAUAUAUGGAGGAACACCAGUGGCGAAGGCGACGGUCUGGGCCGCAACUGACGCUCAUUCCCGAAAGCGUGGGGAGCAAAUAGGAUUAGAUACCCUAGUAGUCCACGCCGUAAACGAUGGUCACUAAGUGUCGGGGGUCAAACCCCGGUGCUGCAGUCAACGCAAUAAGUGACCCGCCUGAGUAGUACGUUCGCAAGAAUGAAACUCAAAGGAAUUGACGG
Molecule: ribosomal RNA, 898 nt
Filed under: uncultured bacterium
Lineage: Bacteria
Description: bacterial SSU rRNA
Rfam family: Bacterial small subunit ribosomal RNA
Source: RNAcentral